This 449-nucleotide ribosomal RNA is filed under the name uncultured organism. Its description in RNAcentral is "partial 16S ribosomal RNA". It matches the Rfam family "Bacterial small subunit ribosomal RNA", at positions 332 to 797 of the family's 1533-position model. The record is from RNAcentral.
UACACUCCUGCGGGAGGCAGCAGUGGGGAAUAUUGGACAAUGGGCGCAAGCCUGAUCCAGCCAUGCCGCGUGAGUGAUGAAGGCCCUAGGGUUGUAAAGCUCUUUUGUGCGGGAAGAUAAUGACGGUACCGCAAGAAUAAGCCCCGGCUAACUUCGUGCCAGCAGCCGCGGUAAUACGAAGGGGGCUAGCGUUGCUCGGAAUCACUGGGCGUAAAGGGUGCGUAGGCGGGUCUUUAAGUCAGGGGUGAAAUCCUGGAGCUCAACUCCAGAACUGCCUUUGAUACUGAAGAUCUUGAGUUCGGGAGAGGUGAGUGGAACUGCGAGUGUAGAGGUGAAAUUCGUAGAUAUUCGCAAGAACACCAGUGGCGAAGGCGGCUCACUGGCCCGAUACUGACGCUGAGGCACGAAAGCGUGGGGAGCAAACAGGAUUAGAAACCCGUGUAGUCCCA